AAUAUUGGUCAAUGGGCGCAAGCCUGAUCCAGCCAUGCCGCGUGAGUGAUGAAGGCCCUAGGGUUGUAAAGCUCUUUCAACGGUGAAGAUAAUGACGGUAACCGGAGAAGAAGCCCCGGCUAACUUCGUGACAGCAGCCGCGGUAAUACGAAGGGGGCUAGCGUUGUUCGGAAUUACUGGGCGUAAAGCGCACGUAGGCGGAUCGGUCAGUUAGGGGUGAAAUCCCGGGGCUCAACCCCGGAACUGCCUUUAAUACUGCCAGUCUAGAGUCCGAGAGAGGUAGGUGGAAUUCCGAGUGUAGAGGUGAAAUUCGUAGAUAUUCGGAGGAACACCAGUGGCGAAGGCGGCUCACUGGCUCGGUACUGACGCUGAGGUGCGAAAGCGUGGGGAGCAAGCAG
RNAcentral lists this ribosomal RNA (398 nucleotides) under uncultured bacterium. RNAcentral's name for it is "partial 16S ribosomal RNA". It matches the Rfam family "Bacterial small subunit ribosomal RNA", at positions 360 to 775 of the family's 1533-position model. The record is from RNAcentral.